This 76-nucleotide microRNA precursor is filed under the name Podarcis lilfordi (Lilford's wall lizard). The record is from RNAcentral. Lineage: Eukaryota; Metazoa; Chordata; Lepidosauria; Squamata; Lacertidae.
CGUGUGUGUGUGUGUGUGUGUGUGUGUGUGUGUAUACAAACACACAAACACACACACACACACACACACACACACA